Mycena crocata is the source of this 93-nucleotide non-coding RNA. Lineage: Eukaryota; Fungi; Basidiomycota; Agaricomycetes; Agaricales; Mycenaceae. The record is from the annotation of a GenBank genome assembly.
GACCCGAUGGUGCAGCGGUUAGCACGCCCACUUAAAGUAGAAUAUAAAAUUCGGGUUAUGUAGGAGAUCCCCGUUCGAUUCGGGGUCGGAUCU